GUAGUGAGCCUUUACUGUAGCAAUUACCGCAGGGAAUUAUAAUAUUUGUUUAUUCUUCAUUCCCACCUCCGCCCUUACUCUGCACACUGAAACUUCCGGUCGGUCUGGACUGUUUACCUUUGUACCCGCGGAGGAGCUGCUCUGCCGCUGAGACGCAGUCAGAAGCCAGUAAUAAAUGAUCUAGAAACUUCAGGAUCUUUGUACACAUGAGACUGGAUGGAGCCCAGCACAAGCCUGUAACCUCAACACUGAGGCAGGAGGAUCAUGAGUUUGAGGCCAGCCCGUGCUACACAGCGAGACUCUUUCAAAAAACCAAAAGAAGGGCCGGGGAUUUAGCUCAGUGGUUUUGCCGCCUGCUGCGGAAGCACAAGGACCCGAGUUUGAUCCCCGACGCGGUCACACAGCGCAGUGAGCAAGCCCAUAUAUGCUGACGGAUCCAGGACACAAUACCACGAGGACCUAGCUACACAGGGUCCACACUGGAGGAGACAACCAAGACACUGCCAGAAUCUGCUUGUGCAGGAAAAAAAAGAAAAAAAUCUGACCUGGGCUUUAAAUUUGGACUUACAAGCUUUAACCUUGAGAAAGUCAUGUAUCUUUCUGGGUCUCAGCUUCCUUAUCUGUAAAAUGGGCUCCAUGUUAGUACUUGUGUCAUUGCAUGUUGUGGGGACCUCAGCUUCCCUUUGCUGGAACAGGAAGGCAUCUACAGAGGGGAAGAGGACUGGGAAGUUCAUCAGAUUGAGGUGGACAGUGAGGCACAGCAGGGGCAGCCAGACCGUGCGGUGCCAGGGCCUCUCCCCUCCAGAGGGCGUGGCUCCUCUUGGAUCUCCGCAUCCCAGCCCGCUGACCCAGCGCCUGGCUGGCAGCCCUGGAGGCAUGGGCCCAGCUGGUGGCAGGAGCCCUGGACAGGGGAAGGAGCAACUGGGAAACCCAUGACCCCCCUCAAAUGUAUGGGGUGCAGUGGUGGGGAGAAUACUUCCCCCUUCCUGGCCCUAGCCCCAGAGCCAGCACCUCCUUAGACCUGGCUCCCUGGGUCUGCCCAAACCUCCCUGCAGAUUCCUCUUGGCUCCCUGCUGGUUGCUCCAGCUCACAUGUGCUGCUUUCGAAUAAAGGAACUUGGAACCAC
This 1126-nucleotide long non-coding RNA is filed under the name Heterocephalus glaber (naked mole-rat). RNAcentral's name for it is "lncRNA (ENSHGLG00100028534.2)". Lineage: Eukaryota; Metazoa; Chordata; Mammalia; Rodentia; Bathyergidae. The record is from RNAcentral.